Molecule: long non-coding RNA, 239 nt
Filed under: Elaeis guineensis (African oil palm)
Lineage: Eukaryota; Viridiplantae; Streptophyta; Magnoliopsida; Arecales; Arecaceae
Description: long non-coding RNA (EGUI_LNC048430)
Source: RNAcentral
CCUCCCUCUCGAAUUGAGAAAGAUUUUUGGGUGGCGAAUCGGGGGCGGCGGAGGCCGAGCAAGCGGCGGCGGCAACAAAGAAGGAGGGCGAUGACGCCCGGUUCAAGACCUACGACGAGGCGGCGCGGGCUCAGGGAUGUCAUCUUCGGCGCGGCAGCGGGAACUCCAGGGGGAGACGAGGAAGGACGACAACACUGGACCUCGGGCGAUCCCCCGACAGUUCUUGUGUCAGAACUUGA